CAAUAAAUAGUUUAUUUAAAAUKUAGGUUUUGGGAAUCUAGGAAAUAUAAUUUAGUAUUUUAUUGA
RNAcentral lists this transfer RNA (66 nucleotides) under Mileewa margheritae. RNAcentral describes it as "tRNA-Pro". Lineage: Eukaryota; Metazoa; Arthropoda; Insecta; Hemiptera; Cicadellidae. The record is from RNAcentral.